AUUGAACGCUGGCGGCAGGCCUAACACAUGCAAGUCGAACGGUAACAGGAAGCAGCUUGCUGCUUUGCUGACGAGUGGCGGACGGGUGAGUAAUGUCUGGGGAACUGCCCGAUGGAGGGGGAUAACUACUGGAAACGGUAGCUAAUACCGCAUAACGUCGCAAGACCAAAGAGGGGGACCUUAGGGCCUCUUGCCAUCGGAUGUGCCCAGAUGGGAUUAGCUAGUAGGUGGGGUAACGGCUCACCUAGGCGACGAUCCCUAGCUGGUCUGAGAGGAUGACCAGCCACACUGGAACUGAGACACGGUCCAGACUCCUACGGGAGGCAGCAGUGGGGAAUAUUGCACAAUGGGCGCAAGCCUGAUGCAGCCAUGCCGCGUGUAUGAAGAAGGCCUUCGGGUUGUAAAGUACUUUCAGCGGGGAGGAAGGGAGUAAAGUUAAUACCUUUGCUCAUUGACGUUACCCGCAGAAGAAGCACCGGCUAACUCCGUG
This 490-nucleotide ribosomal RNA is filed under the name uncultured bacterium. RNAcentral describes it as "partial 16S ribosomal RNA". It matches the Rfam family "Bacterial small subunit ribosomal RNA", at positions 30 to 507 of the family's 1533-position model. The record is from RNAcentral.